RNAcentral lists this ribosomal RNA (517 nucleotides) under uncultured bacterium. RNAcentral describes it as "bacterial SSU rRNA". It matches the Rfam family "Bacterial small subunit ribosomal RNA", at positions 8 to 518 of the family's 1533-position model. The record is from RNAcentral.
AGGGUUCGAUUCUGGCUCAGGAUGAACGCUAGCUACAGGCCUAACACAUGCAAGUCGAGGGGCAGCAUUGGAGUAGCAAUACUCAGAUGGCGACCGGCGCACGGGUGAGUAACACGUAUCCAACCUGCCGCUUACUCGGGGAUAGCCUUUCGAAAGAAAGAUUAAUACCCGAUGGUAUAAAGAGUUCGCAUGUUCUCUUUAUUAAAGAAUUUCGGUAAGCGAUGGGGGUGCGUUCCAUUAGAUAGUUGGCGGGGUAACGGCCCACCAAGUCUACGAUGGAUAGGGGUUCUGAGAGGAAGGUCCCCCACAUUGGAACUGAGACACGGUCCAAACUCCUACGGGAGGCAGCAGUGAGGAAUAUUGGUCAAUGGACGAGAGUCUGAACCAGCCAAGUAGCGUGAAGGAUGACUGCCCUAUGGGUUGUAAACUUCUUUUAUAAGGGAAUAAAGUGAGGGACGUGUCCCUUUUUGUAUGUACCUUAUGAAUAAGGAUCGGCUAACUCCGUGCCAGCCGCUGC